AUGCCCAAACCAAGCAAUAUACCAUCAUAUAUCACUUUGCAAAUUGGUCAAACCUCUCCAAAGGAAUCCUCAGCAAUGCAAGAUUCUAAUCAAAAAAUACUAGACAAAUGUGUGGAAAUGAUUCUUGGUAUGACACUGAAUCCAGCACCUACCAAUGAUAACAACGAAUCACUAAGUCUUGCUAUCAAUGAAGUGCUCAGUGAAAACUUAGAACAAACUCUUGCAUUAGCAGAAAUACAGACUCAGUGCACUGCAGGAGACAUAGAAUCAUCAUCUUGUCAGUAUACACAAGAAGAGGUUGCAAACGUUGCCCAAAUGGAUACAACUAGGAAAAAACAAGAUGAAUCCCGAGACCAUCCUUCAGACAAUUCCGUUGCAGAAGUAAGUUCUAAGCGCACCGAAGAUGAUGAUAUCUCUAAAGUGGGCAAGGAAGAUUCAGACUCUCAUACUUCUCAUUUAACUCAUAGUAAGUUAAUAAAACAAGUAAAUGCAUUUAUAUUUUACAUGAAUUACUAUAGAAUUAAUGAUCUGACUUAUAAAUAUUGA
This 546-nucleotide ribosomal RNA is filed under the name Triticum aestivum (bread wheat). RNAcentral describes it as "partial small subunit ribosomal RNA". The record is from RNAcentral. Lineage: Eukaryota; Viridiplantae; Streptophyta; Magnoliopsida; Poales; Poaceae.